This 253-nucleotide ribosomal RNA is filed under the name uncultured bacterium. Its description in RNAcentral is "partial 16S ribosomal RNA". It matches the Rfam family "Bacterial small subunit ribosomal RNA", at positions 524 to 776 of the family's 1533-position model. The record is from RNAcentral.
UACGUAGGGUCCGAGCGUUGUCCGGAAUUAUUGGGCGUAAAGAGCUCGUAGGCGGUUUGUCGCGUCUGCUGUGAAAAUCCAGGGCUUAACCCUGGGCCUGCAGUGGGUACGGGCAGACUAGAGUGCGGUAGGGGAGAUCGGAAUUCCUGGUGUAGCGGUGAAAUGCGCAGAUAUCAGGAGGAACACCGGUGGCGAAGGCGGAUCUCUGGGCCGUAACUGACGCUGAGGAGCGAAAGCAUGGGGAGCGAACAGG